AUCCGAAGGAUUCAAUGGAUCUAAUGGAUCCAAUGGAUUUUAGUUAUAUAAAAAAAUGGAUCCGGUGGAUCCAAUGGAUUAUAUAACUAAAAUCCAUUGGAUCCAUUAGAUCCAUUGAAUCCAUCGGA
Molecule: microRNA precursor, 128 nt
Filed under: Paramuricea clavata
Lineage: Eukaryota; Metazoa; Cnidaria; Anthozoa; Malacalcyonacea; Plexauridae
Source: RNAcentral